RNAcentral lists this ribosomal RNA (246 nucleotides) under uncultured bacterium. RNAcentral describes it as "partial 16S ribosomal RNA". It matches the Rfam family "Bacterial small subunit ribosomal RNA", at positions 107 to 353 of the family's 1533-position model. The record is from RNAcentral.
UGAGUAAUGUCUGGGAAACUGCCUGAUGGAGGGGGAGUAACUACUGGAAACGGUAGCUAAUACCGCAUAACGUCGCAAGACCAAAGAGGGGGACCUUCGGGCCUCUUGCCAUCGGAUGUGCCCAGAUGGGAUUAGCUAGUAGGUGGGGUAACGGCUCACCUAGGCGACGAUCCCUAGCUGGUCUGAGAGGAUGACCAGCCACACUGGAACUGAGACACGGUCCAGACUCCUACGGGAGGCAGCAUG